This 486-nucleotide ribosomal RNA is filed under the name uncultured bacterium. Its description in RNAcentral is "bacterial SSU rRNA". It matches the Rfam family "Bacterial small subunit ribosomal RNA", at positions 28 to 496 of the family's 1533-position model. The record is from RNAcentral.
GAUGAACGCUAGCGGCAGGCUUAAUACAUGCAAGUCGAGGGGCAUCAAGGUACACGAAAGUGUAUUGUUGGCGACCGGCGGACGGGUGAGUAAUAGGUAGGUAACCUACCUCAUACUGAGGCAUAGCUGGGAGAAAUUCCAGGUAAUUCCUCAUGAGGUUAUAUGACACAUGUGAUAUAAUCAAAGGUAUCGCAAGGUACUGGUAUGAGAUGGGCUUACUGACCAUUAGCUAGUUGGUGAGAUAAGAGCUCACCAAGGCGAAGAUGGUUAGGGGUUUUGAGAGAGAGAUCCCCCACAUUGGAACUGAGAUACGGUCCAGACUCCUACGGGAGGCAGCAGUAGGGAAUAUUGGGCAAUGGGCGGAAGCCUGACCCAGCCAUGCCGCGUGAAGGAAGACGGCCUUAUGGGUUGUAAAACUUCUUUACUAUGCGACUAACUAGAUUUACGAGAUAAUUCUAUAGAAUGUAGCAUAGCAAAAAGCACCGG